UGGCCGGGUGCCUUAAUACAUGCAAGUAGAACGCUGAAGGAGGAGCUUGCUUCUCUGGAUGCAGUGUGCGAACGGGUGAGUCACGCGUAGGUAACGUGCGCUGAGUAGCGGGGGCAUAACUAUUGUGAAACGAUAGCCUAAUACCGCAUAAUAGUAGAUGUUGCACUGACAUUUGCUUAGAAAGGUGCAAUUGCAUCACUACCAGAUGGGCGUGCGUUGUGUUAGCUAGUUGGUGAGGUAACGGCUCACCACGGCGACGAUACAUAGCCGACAUGAGAGGGUGAUCGGCCACACUGGGACUGAGACACGGCCCAGACUCGUACGGGAGGCAGCAGUAGGGAAUCUUCGGCAAUGGCACGGAAGUCUGACCGAGCAACGCCGCGUGAGUGAAGAAGGUUUUCGGAUCGUAAAGCUCUGUUGUAAGAGAAGAACGAGUGUGAGAGUGGAAAGUUCACACUGUGACGGUAUCUUACCAGAAAGGGACGGCUAACUACGUGCCAGCAGCCGCGGUAAUACGUAGGUCCCGAGCGUUGUCCGGAUUUAUUGGGCGUAAAGCGAGCGCAGGCGGUUAGAUAAGUCUGAAGUUAAAGGCUGUGGCUUAACCAUAGUACGCUUUGGAAACUGUUUAACUUGAGUGCAAGAGGGGAGAGUGGAAUUCCAUGUGUAGCGGUGAAAUGCGUAGAUAUAUGGAGGAACACCGGUGGCGAAAGCGGCUCUCUGGCUUGUAACUGACGCUGAGGCUCGAAAGCGUGGGGAGCAAACAGGAUUAGAUGCCCUGGUAGUCCACGCCGUAAACGAUGAGUGCUAGGUGUCAGACCCUUUCCGGGGUUUAGUGCCGCAGCUAACGCAUUAAGCACUCCGCCUGGGGAGUACGACCGCAAGGUUGAAACUCAAAGGAAUUGACGGGGGCCCGCACAAGCGGUGGAGCAUGUGGUUUAAUUCGAAGCCACGCGAAGAACCUUACCAGGUCUGACAUCCUCUGACGCUCUAGAGAUAGAGUUUCCUCGGACGAGUGACAGUGUGCAUGUGUGUAGCUCUGUGGAGAGUGGGUAGUCGCACAGCCACCUUG
This 1069-nucleotide ribosomal RNA is filed under the name Streptococcus mitis. RNAcentral describes it as "bacterial SSU rRNA". It matches the Rfam family "Bacterial small subunit ribosomal RNA", at positions 37 to 1109 of the family's 1533-position model. The record is from RNAcentral. Lineage: Bacteria; Bacillati; Bacillota; Bacilli; Lactobacillales; Streptococcaceae.